Long non-coding RNA from Culicoides brevitarsis, 370 nucleotides. RefSeq lists it as uncharacterized. Lineage: Eukaryota; Metazoa; Arthropoda; Insecta; Diptera; Ceratopogonidae. The record is from RefSeq and is a predicted model, not a curated record. The transcript has 3 exons.
CUCUUGUUGAUUGUGUCCAAUAUAAGCAUUUGAUAAGAGAAAAUAAAUGAGUUGUAUACUAUUAUGUAUUAAAAACCUGGCUACACAUUGGUUGUUGAAAACUAAGGUUUUUUAAAUAUAUUAUUAAUUCUGUAAAAUUUUAUCCAGCAGCCUAUGUUACAAUAUGAAAAUAUUGAAUUUACAAAUGACAAAAAGGCACAUCAGUACAGAUAAACGGACGGACGAAUUCACCAACUUAAUAUAGCAGUUAUCAAAAUAAGAUGAUAUUUGAUCGACACCGCAAAGUCAACUUAAGACGACUGGUAUAUGCUUCGAGAAGCGCAAGCUUUAUUUAAAAAAAAUUAUAAAUAAUGUUUAUUUUCUGAAUGAG